Molecule: long non-coding RNA, 2778 nt
Organism: Papaver somniferum (opium poppy)
Lineage: Eukaryota; Viridiplantae; Streptophyta; Magnoliopsida; Ranunculales; Papaveraceae
Exons: 2
Source: RefSeq, a predicted model, not a curated record
CUCACCUCUGCAAAACCUCUCAGUUCACCUCCCUCCAUCACUUCCGUCCCCGACAACUUCUGAGCACAGCCACCUAUCAGCUAGCCAUCAAUCAAACUUCUAAUCUCUACUUAUCUCCGUCUUAGCUUCUCUCUUAUCAAAAACAGUAACCCUAGAAUCUAGGAUUGGGAGAGAUAAGAUUAGGGCUAGCUUCAACAGCUGGAGAACAUCAAAUCAAAGAGUUGCAGAGUUGAAUUGCAGAAUGGGUUUGUCGGAAAAAGCGUUUUGGGUGAGUGAGUGGGUUUUCUCUAAUUAUCAAAUUCAAGUGAUUGAGAAGAAAUUUAUGUAUGAAUAGAGACUUUUGUUGUGUAACAAAAUCAUUCGAAUUUAGUUGGAUCAAUUGCUAGUUUAAUAUAAUUGCGUUUUAACCAAUUUCACCAUGUUCUAAUUCCAUCUGCUAGUGUUGAGAAGAAGCCAGUUAACUGCAUCAUUGCCAUAACUAGAUUUAGGUUAAGCAUAGUAGGUCUUCUGUUGUUUUUCAGUUAGUAGUUUACAGCAUGUUAGCACCUGUAACUUUCAGUUUGUUAUAAUGCUGUAGCUUGUAAGUUUUCAGUCAUCCCAUUCAUAGCUGUACCUUUGUUCUAUAUCCUUGUGUUUUCAGUCAUUGUAUGUCAAUCAGUUUCAUUUGCAUUGUAGCUUUGUAAUCUUAGCUACAACUUCAUAAGCUUCAUUGUCCUGUAGUAUAAGCUAGCUUACAUCAUAAUCUGGAUCUGUAGUUUUUGGCACCAUUUAGUUCGCUUCAGAAAUAGUUAACUUCCAUAAUUUGUAUCAGUGAUUAAGCACAUGUGUCUGUAAUAUACCUGUACAAACAUUCUGGCAUCUUGCACUUUCUUUUUCCUGUUGAAGUUUGUCUAUAAUUGCAUUCUGUAUCAGCUUCAUCCUGUUUGACUGUGACUGUUCUGUCACUGAUCACUCAGUCAGGUAACAAAGAAGAAUAAACUCUAAAUCAUUAUCAAAACUGUAGGCUCCUCUCAGCUGUUAAUCAGCAAUGAUGCUUCCUGAAUUUGUUUCACCUGUAUAAUUCGAAGUCCUGACAAUCUCUUUUGAGUAACCAGGUACUUGUGAAGCUGGAACACAAACCAAGGAGAGGGAAAAGAAGGAGCAGCACUUUGUUGCUUAAUCAUAUUUGAUUUUCACCUAAUUUUGUGUAGUUUUUGAUUUAUCAGAUUUCUUCCAGUUUUCAAUAAUUUUUAUUUCAGUUUUUUGAUUCAAUCUAGUUUGUUUGUUGACGAUUUUCUUCAGUUAGUUUGAUGUGUAUUGGCUUUUCAUUUUUUUUUUUUUUUUUUUUUUUGUGUUUGAUUUCUUUUUUCGUUUGGGUUUUCCGUAUUUCACUCAUUAAGUUGUUUGGAGAAGUUUACUACGUAUUGUUCUUGCUUCUGGUCUUUUUUUGUUAUUCUGCAGAUGAAGAUAAAUGAACCUCACAAUGAACUUUGGCAGGGUACAAAUGGUGCUCCAUAAGGUUAAUACUCUUGUGAAGUUAACCUCAAAGAGAACUAAUUCUUACUCAUUUGAAUCCAUGGUUUGUUUAAGUUACUAGGAAUGUUGUUUGAUGACAGUUUGCUUAAAGUAAUAAGAGAGUCACAUAACUACUGCACUUACAACAUUUGUAUGAUUCGUAUUAGGGUGAUAUGCUCUUCUGGGACAGAAGUCUCUUCUAACAUUGUUGACUGAAGUUUAUUCUAACUUGGGUUACUUGAUACCGUUUUAGAUAAUUACCCAUUGUCCCUGCAGAUAGCAGUCUAGGUUUGUUUCUUUGGUCUUGGUUAGCACUUUGGUCUGUUAUUACAUCUAUUGUUUAGGGUGCUCGUCACUUCUGAUCUCCAUGUCCCAGAUAAUGCAGUUGCCCGUCACCUUGUACCAUGAUUUAACUCGACCUGAAUUUGGAACUAAAAAUUGCGCACAUGUUUAAUAGGCUCCUGAUAAAGUACUAAGAAGGAUUUACAUCAAUGUAGAGAGACAUAUGCUCAGUAGAGACGAAUAUGCUACUGAAAUUCAGAAGAGAUUUCGAUUAAUAGUGAGUCUUGUUUUACCUGUGGUGUAUUCAUUACAUUGUCACUGGUCUUGGAUGUAAGUAAAAAGGUCUAUUUUUUUAUUUGAAUCGCGGGAAGGUGGAUGGCCCUUAGGAUUACAACCAUUGAACGUGAGAGUUGGUUUGGUGAGGAAUCGUGAUUUUUCGGGGUCGAUGUCUUCCAAUACACUUAUCACUGGUUCUCCAAGUUUCUCAACAGAUUCUUCAUCAGGCUUGGAUACAGAGGUUAGCUAUAGAUAGUAAUCAAAGCAAUGCAAAGAUCAAAGAGAUGCUAAUGGAGGAUCAAUAUGUUAAGCUGAGGAAACACUACCAGAAAAGUCCGAUAUCUGAGCCUCUCCAGAGACCGAAAGCCCAACCAUCAUUCUGGGAACUGCUUGAGAAAUUAAAGCAUUGGCAACAAGUCAUUAAAACUUCAAGCCUAAGCAUCCUUUGAGCAACAAGGCAUUAAAACUACAACAGUGGUUCCCGAUAUUUGAAUUGAUUGAUAUGUAAAUACCAAUGUAGAUGGUUGGUUUCAUGAUUAUCAUAUUUUGAGGUUGUGUUUUAACCUCUAGAGCUCAGAUUGGUGGGUAUUAAUAGAGUUAUGUGCUCUGGAUUGUUUUUUUUCUUUUUCCUUCUGAUGUAUAUGUACUUUGAGAAAACACAGCAUAACCAGGCACCUUCAAACUAACAAUAUGGCGUUUCAUCUCAAAAGCAGAUGCUUAGUUUCA